AUAAAUCUCCCCCAUUGCAUUUCUGUUUCUAACACAAACCUUUCUCGAUCUGCGGUGUUCCCCUCGAUAUGAAGAAUGGGCCCCUAACUGCAGAAUGCCAUAGCGGGCUGUGCCCUAGCGAAAAAUGAUCGGACAAUUUGGGACUGGGAAACAACGCCGUGUUCUUCUUGAGAAAAUGCAAAGCCAUCUGAAAAAAAAAGAAAAAAAAAAAGUGAGAACGAGUGAAAGAAUAUUUCCAGAACGGCACAUUGUAACAAAAAGUCUGCAGAAUACAGAGGUCACGUCAUCAUCUCUGCUCAUUGUCUCUGGAAAUUCUCAUUAAAAAUGAUGUCCCCUGGAUGGAAAUGAAGUUUGUUAUCAAAACUAGGAUGGAUAAGGAGAAAUACAGACUAUGGUAUGAGAAGAUGAGAUCACACAUGCAAGAUUCAGAGGAAUUUCUUACAAAUUAUAAUUGGAAUGCUUAUCUGGGAAAGUAUGUUUUUAGAGAUUGAGGAACGUACAGAGAGGUUCUCGAUGAAUACUAGGGCUGAGAGCCGCAGAGAUAAGGCCUGGCCUGGGAAAAAAGGUUGCAGACAGGAUGGGCCAGUGGUGACACAGUGUCUAGAGAAUGGUUUGCAUUGAGCAAGAACAAGCAAGGGUGGAGCUGGAGAUUACAGGGUAAAGGAGGAGGUCAACAAAACGUAAAGUACAAGUUAUCUAAAAUAUUGUCUUCAUCAAUGAGCGCUAAAAUCACCAAUUGGCAGCACAGAAUACCAUGUAAAAGAGAGACGUUCUAAAAUGCCUUAGCAAUUUUGUGUUAUUUCAUGCCAUUAUGUCAUCGGAAAGGGAUUGGGGUAUAUUUGAAAUUAGACAGAGACAUUGGAUAUGGAAAUGUAGACAGGUUCCACCACAAUCGCACGUCUAUGGGGAAAGCUCUACUGUCCCUGACAUCUUCCAGUGGAAGAGACAGAUAGGUUAGAUAUUUAUUGGUCCAACCCUUUCCUCCAUUAGCAGAACCAAAGGUGUCUGGCUUCCACGUAUCUCCCUCCCAAGUCUGUUUAAAGAUUUUGGGACCUUCUGCCAAAAUAAAUGUUUUGUCCACCAGUAAUUUUCUAUGUAAUGUCAUCAUGGACCCCGACAUGUCUUACCAAUCUUAGUCGUAUGCACAUAUGUGUGCUCAGAGUGCCUCUUGUGGGUCUGCUACGGACACUUUCUAGUAGGUAAUAAGUUGAACCCACCAAAGGCUUCAGUUGAAAAGUCAAUACCACCUUAAAAGGGGUA
This is a long non-coding RNA of Hyla sarda, 1260 nucleotides long. RefSeq lists it as uncharacterized. The record is from RefSeq and is a predicted model, not a curated record. Lineage: Eukaryota; Metazoa; Chordata; Amphibia; Anura; Hylidae. The transcript has 3 exons.